GACGAACGCUGGCGGCGUGCUUAACACAUGCAAGUCGAACGGAAAGGCCCCUUUGGGGGUACUCGAGUGGCGCACGGGUGAGUAACACGUGAGUAACCUGCCCUUGACUUCGGGAUAACUUCAGGAAACUGGGGCUAAUACCGGAUAGGAAUCCUUGCUGCAUGGUGGGGGUUGGAAAGCUUCGGCGGUUUUGGAUGGACUCGCGGCUUAUCAGCUUGUUGGUGGGGUAGUGGCUUACCAAGGCUUUGACGGGUAGCCGGCCUGAGAGGGCGACCGGCCACAUUGGGACUGAGAUACGGCCCAGACUCCUACGGGAGGCAGCAGUGGGGAAUAUUGCACAAUGGGCGGAAGCCUGAUGCAGCAACGCCGCGUGCGGGAUGACGGGCUUCGGGUUGUAAACCGCUUUCAGCAGGGGCGAAGCUUGUGGUGACGGUACCUGCAGAAGAAGCACCGGCUAACUACGUG
RNAcentral lists this ribosomal RNA (465 nucleotides) under uncultured bacterium. Its description in RNAcentral is "partial 16S ribosomal RNA". It matches the Rfam family "Bacterial small subunit ribosomal RNA", at positions 28 to 507 of the family's 1533-position model. The record is from RNAcentral.